This is a non-coding RNA of Notechis scutatus (mainland tiger snake), 2124 nucleotides long. The record is from RefSeq and is a predicted model, not a curated record. Lineage: Eukaryota; Metazoa; Chordata; Lepidosauria; Squamata; Elapidae.
UACCCAUACCUAGAUAUUUUUCUUUACUGUAUUAUUUUUUUUCUUUUCUAGAUUUUUUCCUUUUUUUCUGUAUGUUUUUUUUAUUUUUAGUAAAGCUUGUAUUAGCUCUUACCUUUUUAAUUGUAACAUUUAAUAAAAAUUAUAUAAGAAUGGCAGUUCUGUAAUUAGCUGGGUCAAUUCAAAAUUGGUUAAAUGGGCCUUACAGUACAGAGAGUUGCAAAACAAUUUGUUUUUAACAAGAACGCAAGAAGUAAAUAGCCCUUCUUUGGUGCAAGCUUUUAAUUUUACAUUCAGCUAUGCAUGGCCCUUUAUUCAAUUUAACAGCUGCAAUUAGGACACUUCAAGUGGCUUGCAUUUUUCAACCCCUUCAGUUGAAAGGGGCCUGGCUGAAUGGUACACACAUAUAAGUUAGAGCAGCUGCAGUGCCAUUUCUCUCAGAUGCCUGGCUUACUGAGACUGAAAGCUGCGGGAAUUCACCAUAAUUUGCAGUUGUGAUGCUUGUGCCAAAUUUGUAAAUUGGAGGGUUCAGAAAUGAGCUCCUCUCGUUCAGGAAAGCUUAGUCUAAGUUAAACUUGCUGGGUAAAGCUUUUCUUCUUUAUUUACCCUUUGAUGUAGACCCUACCUUUCUCUAGGAGCUUUAAGCAUAGUAUGUACCACUUCUUCCCCCAUUAGUCUUUCCCAACAUUUUCUGCUACUCUUCUCCCUUUCAAAAUUAAUCAGGGAGGAGAUUAACUAGCAACAGGGAAAACAGAUUAACUAGCAGCAGAUGAUAGGUGGUUGAUCUUUAAGUUCUUUCUCUGACCUUGGCAACAAAGAGAUUUAUUCAGUUUUAAUUUCCUGUUUGAAUAUACCAAGCCAGGAGGAAGCAACAGUUAAAAAGACUCAGCAGCAUUUCUAAGAGCACAAUGGAAGAUCCAGAGCCAUCAUGCCACCAGGAACAGUGAGAAUUUUCUCUGCUUCCAGCUGAUGCUCCUCCUAAAUAGUCACACUAAGAUCAAGGUUUAAAGGGAAUGCUAUUUCAUCAUAGGCUCAACUGAGCCUGUGGUGCCCAAAGUGCAGGAUGUUGUUUUUCAACCAAGUAAUUCUAAGCUGAAAGGAUGGAAGACUCUUAUACAAAGUGGGAAAGUGGAAGAAAGAAGUCAUGAGGGGGAAGAAUCCCCCAUCAUUUAAAAGGAAACAAAUUGAACUCUUUUGAACAUCUGAAGAAAACAGCGGGGAAAUAUCAAGCUUUACAAAAGGAGCAAUUGAGGCACCAGAGUAUUGUAAAAGAGAUGAUAUAAGGUGCACAAUUUUUAUCCUCUGCAGACAAUAUGUUCUUUUCCUUCUGUUUCCCAAACCAGUAUUUGUCAGUUUCUUGUUCUUUUGUAAUUUCGUUUUUUAAUGUUUUUGAAUUUGAUUGGCUAUAGUGCAGUUUUUCAGCAUUAUAUUCCCAAGAAUAAUCUCAAGAAUCCCACUCACCACAAAACAUAUUAUAUGCAAGAGGAGCUGUAGAGUUGAUGAUCAAUCAGAAGGAAGGAAUGAAAAAUAAUAGAUAGCAGUUUUAAAAACAACCUCUUUCCAACUCCCUUGUGAAUUGGUAAUAUUUAUCCUAACACUGAGUGCCAAUGCUUCUUCUUGAAAGAAAUGCCAAAUAAUCUAGGUCAAACUAUUUGUCCAUCCAGCCCAGUAUGUUCCUUGAUCCUUCUAACUAGAAAUGUCAGGAUUUCACUCCUUAUUUGCAACCUCUCAUAGUUUUGCCUUGUGUUUCUUUUCUAAUAAUGGUGGCAGAUGAUUUCAUAAAGGUACCUGGGCAAAGGGAAUGGCACAUACUUGCAGUCCAUAUCCAUGGAACCUUUAAUCUGAGCUGUCAACAUUAUUGUGUAGUUGGCAUCAUGUUACAGGCAAAGAAGCUUUACUCUAAGAUGGCGACUGUCUAUCCUGCCCAAAGAGCUUGACCAUUGUAGUGAUAGUAAGCUAUUGCUUGGCAAGAUAGCUCCUGACUUUUCUACUUAGCUAGGGAAAAAAAGAGAUACAAACUAAAUAAUCAAUAGACAAAUCAGAAAUAAACGUUGCUGAUAACAAGGAUGUCAUUUUAACAAAAUAGUGAAUUAAGAGGAGACCAUAGGUCAUAUACCCUGUUUAAUA